UUCAAAAGUAUAUCACUUUUAUAUUUGCAAUGUGAAAGUGAUUAUAAAUAGUUGGCAGACAAUAUAGUGCAUGUUCCCAUUGUCAAACACAACCUUUUACAUGGUACAUUGACAAGUUGAUAAAAAGUAAAUAAAAAAAUGGUGGACAAUAGUUGUCUAGAUGAGAGGUGCAUAAGUUGAAGUCUCGGGCUUCUCUAGAUAUUCAUUCUCUUCCAUCUCAUAUUCAAAUUUGGGAUCAAACUGUCAAAGUGCUCUUAGAAAAGAUUGAGGGAAUAUGUCCAUAGCUACCGAUCAUAUUCAUCUGCCUUGUAUCCACACGUGUUCUAUUCUCUUCUUUAGCAAACAUCUCAUUAUCAAACUUCCAUGAAAGUAUAUAUAAUAAUCUCAACUGACUGAUUGUAUAUCAUUUCUUGCACACAAAACUUGUGCACAAGUGCCUGCAUAAUGGUGCAAGAAGAAAAGUCAUUACAUUGUUACUUGUUAGAUCAAAAAGCUAGAUAAGUCUUUUGCAAAAGAAGAAAAGACAGAACAUUGUUACUUGUCCUAGUCCACAACAUUGAUAUAUAAUUGAAUAUAUUGCUAAUUAUAGU
Molecule: long non-coding RNA, 590 nt
Filed under: Trifolium pratense (red clover)
Lineage: Eukaryota; Viridiplantae; Streptophyta; Magnoliopsida; Fabales; Fabaceae
Description: long non-coding RNA (TPRA_LNC009951)
Source: RNAcentral